GAUGAACGCUGGCGGCGUGCCUAAUACAUGCAAGUCGAGCGAACAGACGAGGAGCUUGCUCCUCUGACGUUAGCGGCGGACGGGUGAGUAACACGUGGAUAACCUACCUAUAAGACUGGGAUAACUUCGGGAAACCGGAGCUAAUACCGGAUAAUAUAUUGAACCGCAUGUUUCAAUAGUGAAAGACGGUUUUGCUGUCACUUAUAGAUGUAUCCGCGCCGCAUUAGCUAGUUGGUAAGGUAACGGCUUACCAAGGCAACGAUGCGUAGCCGACCUGAGAGGGUGAUCGGCCACACUGGAACUGAGACACGGUCCAGACUCCUACGGGAGGCAGCAGUAGGGAAUCUUCCGCAAUGGGCGAAAGCUUGACGGAGCAACGCCGCGUGAGUGAUGAAGGUCUUCGGAUCGUAAAACUCUGUUAUUAGGGAAGAACAAAUGUGUAAGUAACUAUGCACGUCUUGACGGUACCUAAUCAGAAAGCCACGGCUAAAUACGUG
This 497-nucleotide ribosomal RNA is filed under the name uncultured bacterium. Its description in RNAcentral is "partial 16S ribosomal RNA". It matches the Rfam family "Bacterial small subunit ribosomal RNA", at positions 28 to 507 of the family's 1533-position model. The record is from RNAcentral.